RNAcentral lists this unclassified non-coding RNA (328 nucleotides) under soil metagenome. RNAcentral's name for it is "partial contains 5.8S ribosomal RNA, internal transcribed spacer 2, and large subunit ribosomal RNA". The stretch from base 1 to 119 matches the Rfam family "5.8S ribosomal RNA", at positions 35 to 154 of the family's 154-position model. The record is from RNAcentral.
GAUGAAGAACGUAGCGAAAUGCGAUAAGUAAUGUGAAUUGCAGAAUUCAGUGAAUCAUCGAAUCUUUGAACGCACAUUGCGCCCCCUGGUAUUCCGGGGGCAUGCCUGUCCGAGCGUCAUUACAACCCUCAAGCUCAGCUUGGUAUUGGGCCCCGCCGACCCGGCGGGCCCUAAAGUCAGUGGCGGUGCCGUCCGGCUCCGAGCGUAGUAAUUCUUCUCGCUCUGGAGGUCCGGUCGUGUGCUCGCCAGCAACCCCCAAUUUUUUUCAGGUUGACCUCGGAUCAGGUAGGGAUACCCGCUGAACUUAAGCAUAUCAAUAAGCGGAGGA